This is an RNA transcript of Salvia splendens (bonfire salvia), 7181 nucleotides long. RefSeq lists it as uncharacterized. The transcript is spliced from 6 exons. The record is from RefSeq and is a predicted model, not a curated record. NCBI's taxonomy places the organism in Eukaryota, Viridiplantae, Streptophyta, Magnoliopsida, Lamiales, Lamiaceae.
UCUUAUACGGUGAAAUGUGCACAAUCUUCUGCCAUACUUUAUAUUGAAUUCCUCAAAAAUUUCAAUUGCCGUUAUUCAAUUUGAAUUUACUUUCCCCAAAUCAUAGAUCCCCAAAUGAAGGAACCAAUUCCCGUCGGCACCCUUCCGCCUUUCUCACGCCGGCGACUACACUCCAUUACCGGUCCGAUUUCUCCCCAAACAAUUCGACGCAGCCUCUGUUCGGUCGAUUAAAGCUAUUUUGAAUUCCUCCCAAAUUUCAAUUCCGCCUGACCAUGACCGCCCACCGCUACUGCCGUCGGUCAAUAGCAGCCGGCACCGACUCUCCUUUGCGCAUACACUCGCUGGACUCGCUUGCAGACAGCGGCCUCCGUCGCUCCGGAGCCGCUCCCUCCGUUCCAGUUGCACUCUCCUCUGUCUGGAAUUGCUGACGUCGCGCACACCAGCCGCCGCGUCGCAAGGCUGUCAUGCCAUCAGUCCAUCCGUCGGAUAUCAGGUGCCGCCGAGCGGUGAGAGGCACUCGAGAAUCCACCGAGCAGUCGCUGCCGUCGGGGUCUCACUUCGGUCGGUGUCAUUCUCCAGCCAUAUCGGCUGCACUGUCAAUUUCGUUGGACUGCCGUGGACUUCUCGGCCUAGGUUGACUUGGAAAAAUUUGCAAGGAAUCUUCCUCUUCACCUUAUCGCAGCGAUUAUGGUUUGGGAAAGGGAAAAAUCCACGUUCAAGUAUUUGCUAUGUGGAAUUCUUCUGUUGCAUUCCAUGUGUGAUCUUGCCUCCCGGGUGCCCAAAAUUGAACAGGUUAUCGGAAGUGAUACUGAGCUAUCUAUCAUCAUAUCAAGCAGAUGGCAAUGCUCUAUUUUUUUGUUGAUUUUCAAAAGACCUAUAUUACACUUAUAAUUGGAUUUGUGUGCUGAUUGACGCAAGACAACAAACAUAAACGGAUGGAAAGAAAAUCUUUAUUUUGACUUGGUUGCUUUACUAGCGACCUGUAUUCCUUCACUGGUUUUUUUCCACUACAUCAUGUAACAGUCAUUGUUGACGGUCAUUGUUUCUUCACAGUACCAAGAGGUUGCUCUAGCAUUGACUGCAUAUUACAAGGUAGCAAUCCAGGAUUUGGUGUACAUAUGCAAAGAGGCAGCAUUUGCUGCGGUUUGUGUAGAUGUCAAGUAUCUGCGGACCAACGAUUCAUCUAGAAGUGUAUCCCCUACUACUGAAGAGACCUUGAAUCACCUCGGCUGCAGUGUGAUUCUUCUCUUCAAUUUCUACAGUCUCUGUGUCAGCAACAGUUAUUUCGGGAAUGCAUUGUUAACAAACAGGUUAUUUAUAAGUCAAUUUGAGUCCCGAAUCGUUCGUGCUGCAUCAGAAGAUAAUUUAUUCCAUGAGCUUGGGAAGCGGUGGAUUGCAGGAGCAACUAGCUUCCUGUGUUUGACUCGGCCCUGAUGAAAAAAGGAGUAGCUCUACUUCUCAUCUUUGUAGUCGUCAAAAUCAUGGUCUUUGAGGAUUCUGGUAACUCUACUUCUAAUCUUUUUCAGGUGUUGUUCGAGCCCGUAUAUACUCAACUUGGGAUGCUUCCUACUUAUACAUGAGUGCCUAGCUGCUAUUUAUUUUCAUUCAUGCCUGAUAUGUUGAUUUUUAUAGAGAAUUUAAAUGUUAAUUGACAUGUUAUGAUUAAGAGUAAAUUUCCGAGAGGUUGUCUCACAACUCUCUAAUCUGUGCAUCUCCCUAGUUUUUAAUGAUUUCAUACACAUCACCAGUCGAUAAACAAAGGAUAUUAGCUUCAUAAAUAUCCAAAAAUUGCCCUAGUACUAUGCUACUUUGUAGUGAGGACGAAAAGCUUCCACGAACAGUGUUUCACCACUUGUUAUUUGUGUGUGCAUGCUAGAUUUUCUCUCUAUUGAUUGUCACUACUUUCACCACUUUUUUAUGGGUUAUUAGUGUAGACUUCGUUUCUCUCGAGGGUUGGUCUAUAAACUUCUUGUUGCUUACUAACUUCUGGAGAACUAGGUUUCCCGUGCUUCAGAUACAGUGACAAUAAUGUUCUUUGGUGCCCGAUUUCUUGAGCUAAGGAGAGAGAACUAUUCCGGUUUUGAAAAAUUAAUUCAAAAAGCCAUAGGGCCGAUCAACUGAAUGAGAGCUUUAUGAGUUGCAAUCUUGUUGGUAUUGGUGCAUAAAAAUGAUUUAGGCAAUAGGACUAAAAGCCUCAUAUCCAAAUUAUCACAUGCCUACCCUACAUAAACCACUAGUGAGCCGGUUUGAGCCCCAAAAGCCUAUUUUCUUUGUUGAAAAUUUUGAAGUCACUAUAUUAGCCUACUUAUUAUAUCCGUUUGUUGGCCUAUAUUUUCUACCCUAGUCACUAAAAUUAAAGUGCUAGCACAUUAUUGGGAGGGUAUUUAUGGUGGCAAGGAAAAGAUGGAAGUCAUGGAACAUUCAUUAGGUGGUAUUCAUUUAUAUUGAGAUACAAAUGAAAAAACUCUCUCUUCAAACAAAAGUAAAAUAAAAAGGCAGCCUUUAAUGUGUAAAAAAAAGCCAAGGCUUGAAAAAAUAAAAAAUAAAAAGGCAGCCUUUUUACGUGUAAAAAAAGCCAAGGCUAGAAAAAAAAUAAAAUAAAAAGGCAGCCUUUCAUGUGUAAAAUAAAAAGCCAAGGCAAGUAAAAAAAUAAAAUAAAAAGGCAGCCUUUCAUGAGUUAAAAAAGCCAAGGCCAGAAAAAAGAAUAUCGAGCGAAAAACAGAAAUAUGCUCAAAAGAAUAAGAUCACUUGGUUUAGAAGGUAGAAAAAUCUCCAGUUUGGGGUGUUGAGCUGUCAGAAUUUUGUAUUUUAGUGAGGUGGGAAGGAUGUUGUGAGGGAUGUGCUAGUAUUUUAAGAAUGGUGAUAAGCUACUUAUCCAAAUAUGAUCACACCUUUACCAAAAGCCCCGUUACAUCCAAAUGAAAAGACCUUUUGAUUUAUGCAUCAUAUUGACUUGUGAGCGAUGAAUUUUGCUUGAUUUUGGGAGAAAGAUCUUAUGUGCUUAAAAUAAAGAAUAGCUGGAAGAACUUCUCUUUAUGAAUUAGCGACGAUGGUUUGAGACUCCCAAGACAUAAAUCGAACUAACAUUGAAGCAUUGGAUGCCUAGCUCUUAGGGAAUUAGUUCGUGUACAAUUCAUGUUCUAAAAGUUUUACUCGCGAGUGAAUUCGGGCUCAACCUAAUUUCUCUAAAUGAUUCGUGUGAUUUGACGUGACUUGAAGUAGAGGACUAUCUAAUUUCUUGUGAAUGUGCUUAUUUAUCUAACUUGCUUGAGGGCGAGCAAGACUUAUGUUUGGGAAGUAUUUGAUGUGUGUGGGUAAUUGUUUAACUUGUUAUUACAUAAUGGAUGGAAUGGCAGGCAGUGUACUACUGCUCCGGUUCAAUUUUGACCACCUCACUAUUUAUUCCAGCGAGUUGAAGGGUAUAAAGUUGCAACCAAUAUUUGCUUCAAUAUUCAAACAUUUAUUUACUUUAGUUCGAUAUUUAGUGUGUCAUUUCAUACUAAAGCCAUCAAUGAAAAACUACUGCCAAAUCUUUAUGAUGCUCUACACUUGUUGGUACCUGAUAAAAUUGGGGUUGGACUUGCUUUGUCUAAUUCUGAAGAACACAAUAUCACCACGAUACCAGGAUGUGUGGUUAGUUAUUCUCUUCUUUGUACAUACAUUUAGACAUAAUUUUUUGUUUGUUGUAGGAAGUGGAAUACAUACAACAGUUUAUUAUUUUUAUCUCCUUGGAAUUCUUCAACUUGUUGCACUAAACCUUAACCCUUUUCUUGGCUGUAUUUAGGAAAGACUUUCUGUUUGAGUCAGAUUGCAGAGCUGCUGUGUACCAAUCCUGUUGCGUUUGAGGCUACUGAGAUAAUUCAGCAUAUUCUUGUGCUACUCUUAGUCGAUUUGAAGGCCUCUCGUUCUUGCAAAUGUUAUCUCUCGUGGAACUAAAGUGUUUUCCGUGAUAGUUCCUACUGCAUAAAUAGACUAGAAAGUACUUAGUCGAUCCGAAGGUCGAGGGUGGUAGGGGGCGACUGAGUUCUUAACUUAAAAGAUGAGGGGGAAAGGGUGGAAAACUGAAGGGGUGGAAAACUGAAGGCACAAGUCUAUUUAUUGAUUUUUGAGCUUGCUUUGUGAUCUUUUGUUUCUUGGUUGUUGCGCCUAUAUUUUUCCUACUUAUUUAAUUCAUUCUUUGCUGCAUUUUGCAGUUUUAUAAUUGAUCUGUUACACAUAUUAUAUUUUUGUUUGUUAUAAUUGAUCUGUUACAUACAUUUUAUUUUUGUUUGUUAUACUGUGCCUGACUUUUUUCUACUUUUUCUAAUCCACUUUUUGCUACCUUGCACCAUAAUUAAUUAAUACAUACAUAGCAUCCUAUUUUUCUUUGUCUCAUAUGCCCUGUACAAAUAUGUGCUAUAUAAGUGUUUCUUUGAUAUGUAAACCCCAUUGAUUGUCAAAUCUUGGAUUCUUAAUAUAUAUGUUAAAUGUUUUUAUAGGCUCUUUCCUAGUUACUUACUACACACAUUUCCUUUUUACUUUGGCAUUCGGUUUGCUGUAAUUGCAUCUAAAAAAGAAACCGUGGGCCAUGGAAGCUGGUUGGGCACUCAAUUAGUGUCAAGUAAAGAUACUUUCUAUGAGGUUAGUGUUGCCACUACUGUAGCAGAGUGACUGACCUUUCUCAUGAUUUUAAUAUUUUUGCAAUGCAGGAAUGGAAACUGCAGCUUGUUGCCACUAUGUACAAUACAUGGAAUCUAGACUACUUCGAUUUCUGUAUAUUUGGUCAAGUUCCUCAACAAUUUAAUUUAACUUAACAUCUCUUAUAUGCCAGUUCAGUAGUUUGUACAUAGUCUACUGUGUUUGAGUUUGUUUUCUUUACCUGUCCGUUUGAUGAUUAUGAUUGAUACAACAAAUUUUGGUUUACUGAGUGAACAUAAGAACAGAUUAAUAGUGUUGUAAUAUACUAUUCAACUUAACUAUGAAUUGUAAUGUUACCCCGUUCUAAAAUUUUCAGCUUGCCUGUAAUGUUUAUCCUUUGUGAAUGUUUCUGCUUCAGGAUCAGUCAAUAAGCGUCAACUUGUGACUCACCAUAUGCUGUGUAUUGCUCUACGAGCUGCUUUAGAUGCUUUAGGGAAGCUUGCAAAUUCAAGUGUUUGUUCCUUCCUAGGUUAUUGGUUAAUGUUAUUAUUGUGAAUUUCAGUCUAACCUUGGAUUUAUGACAUUCCAAUGUUUUCCUUCGGGAGAAAGGCAUUAGAGCAGUUUCUGGACCAUCUCAUUCAGUAUCACUGCUCUUUUUUGACCACCUCACUAUUUAUUCCAGCGACUUGAAGGGUAUAAAGCUGCAACCAAUACUUGCUUCAAUAUUCAAACAUUUAUUUGUUAAACCUAACUUUAGUUCGAUAUUAAGUGUGUCAUUUCAUACUAAAGCCAUCAAUGAAGAACUUCUGCAUAAUCAGUCUGAUGCUCUACACUUGUUUGUACCUGAUAAAAUUGAAGUUGGUCUAGCUUUGUCUAAUUCUGAAGAACACGAUACCAGGAUCUGUGGAAAGAAAUUCUUUUUGAGUCAGAUUACAGAGGUGUGUGCCAAUCCUGUUGCACUUGAGGCUACCGAGAUAAUUCAGCAUAUUCUCGUGUUACUCUUAGUCAAUUUGAAAGCUUCUCUGAGCAUUUAGAUUCAUUCUUGCAAAUGUUAUCUAUUGUUCAACUACUAAUGUGUUUUCCUUGAUAGAUCCUAUUGCAUAAAUAGACUAGAUUGUACUUAGUCGAUCUGAAGGUCGAGGGUGGUAGGGGUUGACUGACUUCUUAACUUAAAAGAAGCGGGGGGAAGGGCUGAAGACAGAAGGCACAAGUCUAUUUUUUGCUUUUUGAGCUUGCUUUGCUUGAUCUUCUGCUUCUCUGUUGUUGCGUCUAUAUUUUUCUACUUAUUUAAUUCAUUAUUUGCUGCCUUUUGCAGCUUUAUAAUUAAUCUGUUACAUAUAUUAUAUUUUUGUGUGUUAUUAUACUGUGCCUGAUAUUUUUCAGCAUUUUUUAAUCCACUCUUUGGUACCUUGCAGCUUUAUAAUUAAGGCAUACGUAGUUUCCUAUUUUUCUUCGUCUCAUAUGCCGUGUACAAAUAUGUGCUAUAUUAGUGUUUCUUUGAUAUAUAAACCUCAUUUAUUGUUAACUCUUGGCAUAUUAAUAUCGGUUAAUGUUUUUACAAUCUCUUUCCCAAGUACUUAUGAGACACAUUUCCUUUUACUUUGGCAUUCGGUUUGCUGUGUUGCCACUACUGUGGCAGGCUGACUGAUCUUUCUCAUGAUUUUAAUAUUUUUGCAAUGCCGGAUUUAAUGACAAUGUAUGGAAUCUAGACUACUCUGAUCUCUAUAUAUUUGAUGGCAUGAUUUUUUCUGUUGAAGUGAUCUGUUUGGUCAAGUUCCUCAACAAUUUAUUUUGACCUAACAUCUCUUAUAUGCCAGCUAGGUAGUUUUAUACAUAGUCUACUGUGUUUGAGUUUUUUAUCUUUACAUGUCCGUUUGAUGAUUAUGAUUGAUAAAUCAAAUUAUUGGUUUACAUAGUGAACAUGGUACCGGAUAAAUAAUAUUGUAAAAUACUCUUCAACCUAACUAUGUUAAUUGUAAUGUUACCCUGUUGUAAAAUUUUCAGCUUGCCUAUAAUGUUUAUCCUUUGUGAAUGCUUCUACUUCAGAUCAGUCAUUAAGCAUCAACGCGUGACUCGCCUUACGCUGGGUAUUGCUUUACGAGCUGUUUUAGAUGCUUAGUGGAAGCCUGCAGAUUCAGAAGUUUGUUCCUUCUUAGGUUAUCAGUGAAUGUUAUUAUUGUGAAUUAUAGUCUGACCUUGGAUUUAUGACAUUAUGAUGUUUUCAUUUGGGAGUAAGGCAUUGGAGCAGUCUGUGGACCGUCUUAUUGAGUGGCCACAGUACUGCCAUCAUAUCCUAUACUUUGCAGCAUUUAUAGAGAAGGAACUAACAGUAUUUCAGCGGCUUAUACUGAACCUGAUGUUGGCCAUAGUGCCAAUACUGAUCACCGACGCGGUUAUUUUGGUUUCAGAUUGCAGGCCCACCAUUUUCUCUGAUCGGACCCGGCAGCAUAUUGUGUGGAUUAGCAAUUCCCUCUUCGAUCUCACUACAACAGAGACCACCAAGUUCUCUAGAUGAGAGUUGACUCCUAAUUACAUGAAGCCAUCACAACACACCUACCCUUCCU